RNAcentral lists this ribosomal RNA (497 nucleotides) under uncultured bacterium. RNAcentral's name for it is "partial 16S ribosomal RNA". It matches the Rfam family "Bacterial small subunit ribosomal RNA", at positions 28 to 507 of the family's 1533-position model. The record is from RNAcentral.
GACGAACGCUGGCGGCGUGCCUAAUACAUGCAAGUUGAGCGCUGAAGGUUGGUACUUGUACCGACUGGAUGAGCAGCGAACGGGUGAGUAACGCGUGGGGAAUCUGCCUUUGAGCGGGGGACAACAUUUGGAAACGAAUGCUAAUACCGCAUAAAACCUUUAAACACAAGUUUUAAGUUUGAAAGAUGCAAUUGCAUCCCUCAAAGAUGAUCCCACGUUGUAUUAGCUAGUUGGUGAGGUAAAGGCCCACCAAGGCGAUGAUACAUAGCCGACCUGAGAGGGUGAUCGGCAACAGUGGGACUGAGACACGGCCCAAACCCCUACGGGAGGCAGCAGUAGGGAAGAGUCGGAAAUGGAUGGAAGUCUGACCGAGCAACGCCGAGUGAGUGAAGAAGGGUGUCGGAUAGUAAAACACGGUUGGUAGAGAAGAACGUUAGUGAGAGUGGAAAGCUCAUCAAGUGACGGUAACUACACAGAAAGGGACGGCUAACUACGUG